UAGGGCGUUUAGUAUUUGGUCGUAGACCCGAAACCAGGUGAUCUACCCUUGGUCAGGUUGAAGUUCAGGUAACACUGAAUGGAGGACCGAACCGACUUACGUUGAAAAGUGAGCGGAUGAACUGAGGGUAGCGGAGAAAUUCCAAUCGAACCUGGAGAUAGCUGGUUCUCUCCGAAAUAGCUUUAGGGCUAGCCUCAAGUGAUGAUUAUUGGAGGUAGAGCACUGUUUGGACGAGGGGCCCCUCUCGGGUUACCGAAUUCAGACAAACUCCGAAUGCCAAUUAAUUUAACUUGGGAGUCAGAACAUGGGUGAUAAGGUCCGUGUUCGAAAGGGAAACAGCCCAGACCACCAGCUAAGGUCCCAAAAUAUAUGUUAAGUGGAAAAGGAUGUGGCGUUGCCCAGACAACUAGGAUGUUGGCUUAGAAGCAGCCAUCAUUUAAAGAGUGCGUAAUAGCUCACUAGUCGAGUGACACUGCGCCGAAAAUGUACCGGGGCUAAACAUAUUACCGAAGCUGUGGAUUGUCCUUUGGACAAUGGUAGGAGAGCGUUCUAAGGGCGUUGAAGCAUGAUCGUAAGGACAUGUGGAGCGCUUAGAAGUGAGAAUGCCGGUGUGAGUAGCGAAAGACGGGUGAGAAUCCCGUCCACCGAUUGACUAAGGUUUCCAGAGGAAGGCUCGUCCGCUCUGGGUUAGUCGGGUCCUAAGCUGAGGCCGACAGGCGUAGGCGAUGGAUAACAGGUUGAUAUUCCUGUACCACCUAUA
RNAcentral lists this ribosomal RNA (760 nucleotides) under Staphylococcus aureus. RNAcentral describes it as "partial 23S ribosomal RNA". It matches the Rfam family "Bacterial large subunit ribosomal RNA", at positions 688 to 1452 of the family's 2925-position model. The record is from RNAcentral. Lineage: Bacteria; Bacillati; Bacillota; Bacilli; Caryophanales; Staphylococcaceae.